This 497-nucleotide ribosomal RNA is filed under the name uncultured bacterium. RNAcentral's name for it is "partial 16S ribosomal RNA". It matches the Rfam family "Bacterial small subunit ribosomal RNA", at positions 28 to 507 of the family's 1533-position model. The record is from RNAcentral.
GAUGAACGCUGGCGGCGUGCCUAAUACAUGCAAGUCGAGCGAACAGACGAGGAGCUUGCUCCUCUGACGUUAGCGGCGGACGGGUGAGUAACACGUGGAUAACCUACCUAUAAGACUGGGAUAACUUCGGGAAACCGGAGCUAAUACCGGAUAAUAUAUUGAACCGCAUGGUUCAAUAGUGAAAGACGGUUUUGCUGUCACUUAUAGCUGGAUCCGCGCCGCAUUAGCUAGUUGGUAAGGUAACGGCUUACCAAGGCAACGAUGCGUAGCCGACCUGAGAGGGUGAUCGGCGACACUGGAACUGAGCCACGGUCCAGACUCCUACGGGAGGCAGCAGUAGGGAAUCUUCCGCAAUGGGCGAAAGCUUGACGGAGCAACGCCGCGUGAGUGAUGAAGGUCUUCGGAUCGUAAAACUCUGUUAUUAGGGAAGAACAAAUGUGUAAGUAACUAUGCACGUCUUGACGGUACCUAAUCAGAAAGCCACGGCUAACUACGUG